This is a long non-coding RNA of Acinonyx jubatus (cheetah), 2569 nucleotides long. RefSeq lists it as uncharacterized. The transcript has 3 exons. The record is from RefSeq and is a predicted model, not a curated record. NCBI's taxonomy places the organism in Eukaryota, Metazoa, Chordata, Mammalia, Carnivora, Felidae.
GCGUCGGCGAAAAAGUGAAAAUAAAACAAAACGAAAAAAAAUAAAAAAUAAAAAAUUAAAAUAAAAAGCUAAAAUAAAAAUGGACACAGACAACAGCAGUGUGUUGAACUGGCUGAUUUAUUGCAGUAAAUGUGGCAUUAUAUAUGCUAGUGAUUUCCUCGGAGCAUACGUCAACUAUGUUUUUCUAACAUUACCUAACUUUGAAAAUGUUCCUAUGUAUAAACGACCUUUAAGAAAUAACAUGGUGAUUUUCCCCUAACUUUCCCGCAUACCCUUUGAUUAUAGAUUAAUUUCUUACAUUAUUCCAUUAUGCAUCUGCGUUUAUCUAUAAUCUACAAAGCAUUUGCUUUGCUGUUCUCGUGAAAGGCCCUCCAUUUCUCAACACCUCAAGUGGAACAGUUACAGGGACAUGACCUCCUAACCACAUGAGGCCAGAACAACAAUGUGUCUGCUUCGGUCCGAGGUGCCAGAAAGGGGCCGAAAAAGCCUUAGAAACCCAUGCCUCACACAUUCUCAGAGAGACAAUGCACCUAGGAACCAAUGAACCAUUCUGUAGCUUAACCGACUAGGUUCAGUCAUCAUCUGGAAUGCCUCCAGGGGGCCAGGUGGGCCUAGGGGUUGAAGUCACCUGUGCCCAGAGAUACACUCCUGAGUUGCCGGAGUGGGGCUUUCAAAUCCAUAUGUCUCUCUUUUACAGGCCCUCUUUGCUGGAAAACGUAUGAAGCUAUCCUUCCUGUAAGAAGAGGAGUCUCCAUAGGGAAUGGCGAAGGCUAAACGUGGAAAUGCAAAGAUGUUAAUGGAAUCAAACGACUUUCUGAUUUCAAGUCUGACUACAAAACUAGACCAAUCACGAAGGCGUAGUUUUGUCACUGGGAUAGACAAAUAAACCAAUAGAAUAGGAUGGAGAGUUCCAGAAAUGAAUCCAAAUGUAUACGUCAUAAGAAGAAGAAGAAGAAUAUUUUCCAAAGUCUAUUCAAAUGUUAAACCAGCACAGUAAAUUAGGGCAACAGACUAAAUUAUCUUGGAGCAAGAGACUUUAUAUUUAAUUCUACUUCAAGUUUUGACCUCGAGAGAAAUCAUGCGCUCCAGUUUCCUCAAGGAUAUGGUUGUAAGUAUUUUGGCAGUUACACGUCAGGAUAUUUUUGUGUUUAAUAACGGUCAACCUUAGUACAAGGAGAAUGCCACGUGAAAAAUCGAUUUUUACAGUGGAUUGCAGGAUGCUGUAUCUCACCUGUGACCUAUGCCAUUUCUUUGUGCAUUCGGACACAAAACUUAACAAUCUAGUCCACACAGAGUGGCCGUUAACGCCCUGACUUUUGGGAAAGGUGGAAAGAUGUUAGCCUCAUAUUGCCUUAUUUUUUCUUGUGGUGAAGGGUGGAGUGAUGUGAGAAUAUGUGAUGUUUUUCCGAGGUUUCUGGCAACUGUCACACCUCUAACCAUGAUCUCAACUGGAGGACCCGAGCCAAUGAUUUCCCCAUUGGUUUUUUUCUCCCCCCUCAAAUAUAUGGGCUUGUAGCAGAGCUUAAAUCAUGGCUUGGUAAUGUAUUGAAAGCCGUGACUUGAAUAGCUCUGAAAUGCUCUGGUUUUGCUAAAAGGGUAAUGAAAUAAAUGAAUAGCUACAGAUUCUUCAAAACAGAUGUCGGUGGAGGGCUUUCCUCAUUGCACAACUCCAGGCAAAAAAUGUACGUAGCUUACUAUCAGACAGAUGACCCUGAGUUUACAACCAUUCAGCUUUCAAUGGUUUGAGAAAAAAGCAUAUGUAUCCGAUUUCUGUGCAAUCUUUUAGGUUCAUUCCUAACUUUUCUCCAGGAGGAAAAUUAUUUGCUAGUUAUUCAAGAGAACAUUACAUAAGCUUUCCGAUUUUAUGCAUCUUUAUACUUGACAUUUGUAGUAGAAUGAUUUGGUAAAAUGAUUUCUUCACACAUUUUGAACACGCACAAAUAAGUUACUAUUCAUAAUCUUGAAAAUACUCAAAAUCCUGCAAAAGAAAUUAUACAAAUAAAUUUCCAUUUGUACCAGUUACUGUGGUGACCUUUUCCUAUAGUUUUCCAAAUAACAAGUGACUUAACCUAUGUUUUCCAACAACAAAGACAAAAUAAAAAACUCCAGUUGAGCAAAGAGCUAUGCGACAGGGCCCAAAUGUCCUUCCAUACACUCCAACCCUGCCUGCUCCUGCCUCAGACCAUGUGUAUCCAGGUGGCCCUCCUGGUGGUGGAGUGCCUUGAUCUCAACCAAAGUCACAAUGGAAGAAUUUUAAUUCUUUUGUCAUUUAAUUCUUUUGCUGUAAUUGACAUUCGUCUUUGUAUCUAAUGCUUCAUCAUGUUUUUAAUUAUUUCCUUGGGUUAAGCAAAGAAAUGCUUGCUAGUAGAGGUAGAAUUGCUGUAUUUAAGGACUUUAUAAUUUUUUUAUGAUAUCACCUUUAUUUUGACUAAUUUCCCAUCAUAAAGUUAUAAUUUAUACCUUAUUGAUGCUCAGUGAGAAAUCUCUAACUCUGACCAGCAUUGGGCUUUGUCAUUUUUGCCACAUUUAGUUGAUUUAUAUAAAAUAAAACCCAGAGAAUUAAGUUGUU